UCAGUGCUUCAUUACAAAGUCAAAUUACAGAUCACACAUUUGCAGGUGACAGACAGAUACAUUCUAAACUGUAACACUGAUGGGCAACAAUAGUCCUCUUUCCAUAACAAGAGUUUACUUUACGCAGGCAUUUGCGUAAUGCAUGAGGUGAAGACCUUCUUGAAAUGCAGUAUGUCCUGUACGACUGGUUCUUCAAGGUUGUUUAUUUCCUUGUGACUUGGCCUCAGGACAGGAGGAACUAACUUUUCUCACAGUAAGUUACAAAUCACGGUACGUGCAGGACAGAAGCAAGAGAAACACACAUGUUGCACUUGCUGGGAACUGUUGUUGGCCUUCUCUUCAUCAUAAUGUGUUUUUCAAAAGGACUCAAAGAGGGAUAUAAACCAAAAAAAACACAACCACCUGAAUCAUCGACCAACAACAAGAUGAAGGACCUGAGCGAAGAAGAUGUGCAUUUAUUGGCCAGGAUCCUGUCAGUUGGGUUGGUGGAUGCAGAUCCAAACUAUCUCCACCAUCUUAAAGGCUACAGAGACUUGCAUGCUAGAUGAAAUCAACAGACAAAACAAAGCAGGUCCGGCAUGUAUGGAUGGAUCUGUGGUGACAUCAAAUCAAGGCUAUCCACUAUUGUGUUUUGGAUUACCACUAGUCAAGUUAUUCUUCCAAGCGUUUCCACGAGUAAUGGAAAAAUGUGCACUUUAUUCAGGUCAAAGAUGAUAUUGGCAGUUGAGCACUGUGGUGCUUGAUAUGGAUGUGAACAUUUUGAUUUUGGAUUCUGACUGCUAUAUUUAUUGCCCCACUGUAUAUAUAUUUUAAAUCUCUGAAAAUGUGAAAAAAGCAACCUCUGAUAUAUUACAUUUAACAUCCUUAUCUUUUUAAGUUUGGAAAUGCAUAAAAUGAAAAUAUAGAAAGAGGAAAAUAUCAGAGGUAUUUGCAUUAUUAGACUUGCUUUGAUGUAGAAACUGUGUUAUUCAAAUGUUGUGCAAUGUUAAAUACCCCUUGUUGAGCUGUAAAACUAAACUUUAACAUUUACAUCAGAGGUAUACUUGUUGCUCAAUUAAGCUGUAAUGCGCAUUUUCAGUAGGUUGCAGAAAGCAAUUAAACCUUUAAAGUGAGAUUUACUUUAAAUGCUGAGCUAAAGUAGCAUGUGGACUGAGUCAUAUGGUCAGUGAAGAAAGAAAAUCAGUAAUGUGCAUGAAACAACAAUGUAUACCUCAGAUUGGCUAACUUCAGCUAACAUUAAUCACCAUAAGCCAUAGCAAAACAACAAAGGCUGUAGCACCAAAACCUCCGUAUGCAUUUGCUUGAGGGAUGCUGCAUUUUACUUCCUUUCCCUACUUCCUUUUAAGAGGAAGAAUGUGUUUGCUCUUUUGCAAAAGUCUUGCCUUAAGGGGCAGAGAGGGUCACUAGGCUUUGUUCGUCUUUCUGUUCGUGCCUAAAGGAGACAAAAAGGUAGAGAGAAGAAGACAGAAAGAGAGUGAACAUGUGAUCUUUUGUUUGUCUCCAGCUGUAAACUCACUAAAUGUCUCUUACUCCAGACAUGGCUGUUGAGCUUGUCCCCUAGCACAUAGAGCAAGGUCACCACUGACAUGUUGAAAAAGAAGAAGCCCAUCAGACCAGCAGUGCUGAAAUGUCCAAGAAGGGGAUACACCCAAAUCCCAACUGACAAGUACACCCAUAUAAUCCUGCAGGACAUGUUUAGAGAGAAAGAAGAAAAAAGAAACUCUCAUUGUCAUUGUCAGAUCAUCUCAUAUUGUCAUGUUCUAGAGAACUAGUAUGGCUUGUGCAAAUAUUUACUGGUUUCCAUCCACUGACACCAAGGACACUAACUGUAUGACUGUAACAACAAAACGCUAGGCAGUAAAAAAUCUUACAGUAUAACACAUACAGUAUAUUUAUACUGUGUACCAUCAGACACAUGAGGAUCUGUAGGCAGCAUUAUGUGAACCAGAACUACUGAAGUUUCAGAGGAAGCUUUUGCCCCUCAAGCUGUUUGCAUUGUGAACUGAUAAACCCUGCUGCACUGGACUUGUCUAGACUAGUUACAGCAGAAAAAUAGACACAUUUAGACACUGGUGUGCUUUUAGCUAUAUGUGAAAGAUUUAGCCAGCUCCAAAUGAGGGAUACCAAAAAGCUUUAACUGUUUUAAAAAGUUGUACUAUUUGUGUCUUAAUGUGCCUAAUAACGCUUGUAAAUGUUUUAGCAUGAUUCUAUUGUAUAUGCUUACUCAGCACUUACCAGAAUAAAUAAGAGAAGCCUACAACCCCUAA
Scatophagus argus is the source of this 2267-nucleotide long non-coding RNA. RefSeq lists it as uncharacterized. The transcript is spliced from 4 exons. The record is from RefSeq and is a predicted model, not a curated record. NCBI's taxonomy places the organism in Eukaryota, Metazoa, Chordata, Actinopteri, Scatophagidae.